GACGAACGCUGGCGGCGUGCUUAACACAUGCAAGUCGAGCGGAAAGGCUCCUUCGGGGGUACUCGAGCGGCGAACGGGUGAGUAACACGUGAGUAAUCUGCCCUUGGCUUUGGGAUAACUACCGGAAACGGUGGCUAAUACCGGAUACGACCACUCCUUGCAUGAGGUGGUGGUGGAAAAGUUUUUUCGGCCAGGGAUGUGCUCGCGGCCUAUCAGCUUGUUGGUGGGGUAAUGGCCUACCAAGGCUUCGACGGGUAGCCGGCCUGAGAGGGUGACCGGCCACACUGGGACUGGGACACGGCCCAGACUCCUACGGGAGGCAGCAGUGGGGAAUAUUGGACAAUGGGCGGAAGCCUGAUCCAGCAACGCCGCGUGAGGGAUGACGGCCUGG
RNAcentral lists this ribosomal RNA (391 nucleotides) under uncultured bacterium. Its description in RNAcentral is "bacterial SSU rRNA". It matches the Rfam family "Bacterial small subunit ribosomal RNA", at positions 28 to 419 of the family's 1533-position model. The record is from RNAcentral.